AAGCUAGAAGGUAUAUAUUUGGUCCUCCAAUUGCACUAACUUUUGGUGCCAAAUUUGUUCCGCUUCGCAACCUGUGAAAAUUGCCAGGGUAAUUGGAAGCUCAAUGGGGUACCACUUUAUGUUCUUGUGGAGCCUCGCCUAGAUGAUCUGGAUCAUACGUUAUGAGAUGAUGCAGAACAUGACGGUAGAGCAACACUUGGAUGGCGAAGGGGAAAUUCGUCUUUU
Helianthus annuus (common sunflower) is the source of this 225-nucleotide long non-coding RNA. RefSeq lists it as uncharacterized. The transcript is spliced from 3 exons. The record is from RefSeq and is a predicted model, not a curated record. Lineage: Eukaryota; Viridiplantae; Streptophyta; Magnoliopsida; Asterales; Asteraceae.